Molecule: ribosomal RNA, 492 nt
Filed under: uncultured bacterium
Lineage: Bacteria
Description: partial 16S ribosomal RNA
Rfam family: Bacterial small subunit ribosomal RNA
Source: RNAcentral
GGUGAACGCUGGCGGUAGGCCUAACACAUGCAAGUCGAACGGCAGCACAGUAAGAGCUUGCUCUUACGGGUGGCGAGUGGCGGACGGGUGAGGAAUACAUCGGAAUCUACUUUUUCGUGGGGGAUAACGUAGGGAAACUUACGCUAAUACCGCAUACGACCUACGGGUGAAAGCAGGGGAUCUUCGGACCUUGCGCGAUUGAAUGAGCCGAUGUCGGAUUAGCUAGUUGGCGGGGUAAAGGCCCACCGAGGCGACGAUCCGUAGCUGGUCUGAGAGGAUGAUCAGCCACACUGGAACUGAGACACGGUCCAGACUCCUACGGGAGGCAGCAGUGGGGAAUAUUGGACAAUGGGCGCAAGCCUGAUCCAGCCAUACCGCGUGGGUGAAGAAGGCCUUCGGGUUGUAAAGCCCUUUUGUUGGGAAAGAAAAGCAGCAGGUUAAUACCCCGCUGUUCUGACGGUACCCAAAGAAUAAGCACCGGCUAACUUCGUG